RNAcentral lists this long non-coding RNA (569 nucleotides) under Elaeis guineensis (African oil palm). RNAcentral's name for it is "long non-coding RNA (EGUI_LNC005825)". Lineage: Eukaryota; Viridiplantae; Streptophyta; Magnoliopsida; Arecales; Arecaceae. The record is from RNAcentral.
UGAAGUUAGAGAAGGGUGAAGGGAUGUUGGCACGGGCCUCUGAUGCAAGGGAAAUGGUGCCAUCCCUCCUGCCGGUCUGAACUUCCCAUAAAGACCUGUUAAACUGCCAAUGGAUACCUUGGUUCAGAUACCAAUCACAGAAGAUCUAUGACAUGAGGUAGUUUGCUUCUUUCUUUUUGUGCAGAAAAAGUUUGCUACUUACUUGGAAGGAGACUGAGUCCCUCGCAGCCAAUGCAAUUAUAUCGGCGCAGGAGACGGUGUCGGGGCAAGUUUUCUCUAAUGCUGUCUUCACCUCAUCAAUGACAUCGAAGCCUGCUAGUGAUAAGUUUGGAGCGGCAUCCUUCUCAGCAGUACUGUUUGCAGUUGAGUUAAUAAGAACUGAAGCAUCACAGCCCUAUAUGCAUCAAGAACAAGGAUCUAGUAAGUAGAAUAGCCUUAGCUACGUAAAGGAUUGUAUAAGUUUAAGACUACAUCUAUAGAAGAGAAGUGGUGUUGUUUACAUGCAUUGAAUAAAUCUUCAUGCUAUGAUACAUUGAAUUUGGUGACACUAAAGAUUAUGAUCAAUUUAU